AGGUGAUUGCAAAUGAUCUUGACUUGUAGGAUAAAACAUUAAGAUGUAUCAAACUACUUUUGUGUUAUGUCAGAAUGAAUUUAUUUAUGUUUUGAUAAAUGGAAAAAUUGUGUCCCGCUUUUGGCAUGUACGAUAGGACUACAAGUGUUCGUGGCUUGCAGCUGUUGAGUACCUAGCCUUGCCUUACCAGCGUCCCGCUGAAAGCAGAUCUCGAGCUUAGGAGGGGUGAACUCAAGGUUUGCCUAGGCUUCGUUAGCUGGAGGCCGACUGCAUGUGUUAGUCGUAAAGCAUCAAGAAUGGGAGGAAGGGAGAGUUGAUGACCAAGAGGUUAGUGAGGGGAAGCCUCUGAGUUUGAGAGCACACAGGCUGUUGAGCAGAUCGAGAAGCCCCCGAGUGUGUAGUGUAGCUUAGAGAUGAAAAAGCAUUACGGCAGUAGGUACGCAGAAAAGAAGAGAUUGCAGGGUACUGAUUUAUUCAAUAUGAAAGAAACAAACAGAGUACAUAGCUGUACAUGUUAAGGGUAGAAUCAUUGCAGAUGUUCUUUCCAUGGAUUUGGGACACUAGAUCCAUCUGCCCAUUGGAGUCGGUAUGUGCCGGGUUGGAUGACCUCUUUGAUAAUGAAGGGGCCCACCCAAGGGGCGGCCAAUUUGUGCAUGUUCCUAGUUGAUUGUACUCGGUGAAGCACCAAAUCGCCAAUGUUGAAGGACCGUUCCAUGACGUUGCAGUCAUGAUAACGCUGUAUCUGCUGCUCAUGGCGCGCAUGCUGCAGCAGAGGUGCCGCGUGAUGCUCUUCAAGACUGUCUAUGGCAAGUUCUGUCUAUGUCAAGUUGCUGAAUUCUUUCUACCUUGCCUUCUUCAUAGUACUGGAUGCAUGGAACACCAAAGGCCACAUCCGAUGGUAGGAUAGCUUUUGAUUCAUAUACCAUGAAGAAGGGGG
RNAcentral lists this long non-coding RNA (937 nucleotides) under Setaria viridis. RNAcentral's name for it is "long non-coding RNA (SVIR_LNC005675)". The record is from RNAcentral. Lineage: Eukaryota; Viridiplantae; Streptophyta; Magnoliopsida; Poales; Poaceae.